Molecule: non-coding RNA, 699 nt
Organism: Sorex araneus (European shrew)
Lineage: Eukaryota; Metazoa; Chordata; Mammalia; Eulipotyphla; Soricidae
Source: the annotation of a RefSeq genome assembly
AUGGACCUUGUGUGCAGGAACGUGCAUCAGCGCUGGUUCCUCCUCUUUCUGGUGGCAGCUCCCGGUUGUGUCCUGUCCCAGGUACAGCUGCAGGAGUCGGGACCAAGCCUGGUGACACCCUCGCAGACACUGUCCCUCACCUGCUCUGUCUCUGGAUUCUCUCUAACCAACUAUUCUGUGGACUGGGUCCGCCAGGCCCCUGGAAAGGGGCUGGAGUGGAUUGGUGCUAUAUGGGCUAGUGGAAGCACAAACUAUAACCCAAGUCUUCAGUCCCGAGUCAGCAUCUCCAGGGACACCUCCAAGAACCAAGUUUACCUAAAACUGAGCCACUCAGUAACUGAGGACACAGCCGUGUAUUAUUGUGCAAGAGACACAGUGAGGGCAAGAGCCUCCUAUUACCUGUUUCAGUACUGGACCCUCUCCCUCACCUGCUCUGUCUCCGGAUUCUCCAUCACAACCAGUGGUUACUGCUGGGAAUGGAUCCGCCAGCCCCCAGGGAAGGGCCUGCUCUGGUUGGGGUACAUAUGUCCUAGUGGAAGCACCUACUACAGCCCGUCCUUUAAGAGCCGCAUCUCCAUCACCAGAGACACGAACAAGAACCAGUUCUCCCUGCAGCUGAGCUCAGUGACCCCUGAGGACACAGCCAUGUAUUACUGUGCGAGACACACAGACUUCCCCCAUGCGGCCCUUUCUCUGUAA